This 532-nucleotide ribosomal RNA is filed under the name uncultured eukaryote. Its description in RNAcentral is "bacterial SSU rRNA". It matches the Rfam family "Eukaryotic small subunit ribosomal RNA", at positions 517 to 1046 of the family's 1831-position model. The record is from RNAcentral.
AGGAUAAUUUACAACCCUUACCGAAAAGCAAUUGGAGGGCAAGUCUGGUGCCAGCAGCCGCGGUAAUUCCAGCUCCAAUAGCGUACGUUAAAGUUGCUGCAGUUAAAAAAGCUCGUAGUUGAACGUUCGGGUUCCGCGGGACGGGGCCGCCCCGCGAGGGACGGCGCCGCCCCGGGGCUCGUGAUAUCUCAUCUCGCCGCCCGUCGCGAGGCGGACGGAGGGAUGGAUGAGGUUACCUGGAAAAAAUCGGGGCGAUCUAGGCGGGCGAACCUCGCCAACGAACGAUCGGACAUGGGAUAACGGAAGAGGGCGUCGGCUCGACUUCGUCGGUUCCUCGGGCCGAGGCACGUACGGUGAAUAGGGACGGUCGGGGCCGCCCGUACCGGGUCGUGAGAGGUGAAAUUCUAGGAUCGACCCGAGACGAACCGCCGCGAAAGCAUUCGGCAAGGACGCUUUCAUUAAUCAAGAACGAAAGUCGGGGGAUCGAAGACGAUCAGAUACCGUCGUAGUCCCGACCGUAAACGAUGCCGAC